UAGGGCGGGACACGAGGAAUCCUGUCUGAAUCCGGGUCGACCACGAUCCAACCCUAAAUACUAAUACCAGAUCGAUAGUGCACAAGUACCGUGAGGGAAAGGUGAAAAGAACUGAGGUGAUCAGAGUGAAAUAGAACCUGAAACCAUUUGCUUACAAUCAUUCAGAGCCCUAUGUAGCAAUACAGGGUGAUGGACUGCCUUUUGCAUAAUGAGCCUGCGAGUUGUGGUGUCUGGCAAGGUUAAGCAAACGCGAAGCCGUAGCGAAAGCGAGUCUGAAUAGGGCGCUUAGUCAGAUGCUGCAGACCCGAAACGAAGUGAUCUAUCCAUGAGCAAGUUGAAGCUAGUGUAAGAACUAGUGGAGGACUGAACCCAUAGGCGUUGAAAAGCCCCGGGAUGACUUGUGGAUAGGGGUGAAAGGCCAAUCAAACUUCGUGAUAGCUGGUUCUCUCCGAAAUAUAUUUAGGUAUAGCGUUGUGUCGUAAUAUAAGGGGGUAGAGCACUGAAUGGGCUAGGGCAUACACCAAUGUACCAAACCCUAUCAAACUCCGAAUACCUUAUAUGUAAUCACAGCAGUCAGGCGGCGAGUGAUAAAAUCCGUCGUCAAGAGGGAAACAACCCAGACUACCAGCUAAGGUCCCUAAGUCUUACUUAAGUGGAAAACGAUGUGAAGUUACUUAAACAACCAGGAGGUUGGCUUAGAAGCAGCCAUCCUUUAAAGAAAGCGUAAUAGCUCACUGGUCUAGUGAUUUUGCGCGGAAAAUAUAACGGGGCUAAAGU
RNAcentral lists this ribosomal RNA (777 nucleotides) under Campylobacter jejuni. RNAcentral's name for it is "partial 23S ribosomal RNA". It matches the Rfam family "Bacterial large subunit ribosomal RNA", at positions 413 to 1188 of the family's 2925-position model. The record is from RNAcentral. Lineage: Bacteria; Pseudomonadati; Campylobacterota; Epsilonproteobacteria; Campylobacterales; Campylobacteraceae.